CCUACGGGUGGCAGCAGUGAGGAAUAUUGGUCAAUGGACGAGAGUCUGAACCAGCCAAGUAGCGUGAAGGAUGACUGCCCUAUGGGUUGUAAACUUCUUUUAUAUGGGAAUAAAACGUUCCACGUGUGGGAUUUUGUAUGUACCAUAUGAAUAAGGAUCGGCUAACUCCGUGCCAGCAGCCGCGGUAAUACGGAGGAUCCGAGCGUUAUCCGGAUUUAUUGGGGUUAAAGGGAGCGUAGGUGGAUUGUUAAGUCAGUUGUGAAAGUUUGCGGCUCAACCGUAAAAUUGCAGUUGAAACUGGCAGUCUUGAGUACAGUAGAGGUGGGCGGAAUUCGUGGUGUAGCGGUGAAAUGCUUAGAUAUCGCGAAGAACUCCGAUUGCGAAGGCAGUUCACUGGACUGCAACUGACACUGAGGCUCGAAAGUGUGGGUAUCAAACAGGAUUAGAUACCCUUGUAGUC
Molecule: ribosomal RNA, 460 nt
Filed under: uncultured bacterium
Lineage: Bacteria
Description: partial 16S ribosomal RNA
Rfam family: Bacterial small subunit ribosomal RNA
Source: RNAcentral